UACGUAGGGGGCGAGCGUUGUCCGGAUUUAUUGGGCGUAAAGAGCGUGUAGGCGGCCAGGUAGGUCAGCUGUGAAAACUCGAGGCUCAACCUCGAGAUGUCGGCUGAAACCAUCUGGCUAGAGUCCGGAAGAGGAGAAUGGAAUUCCCGGUGUAGCGGUGAAAUGCGCAGAUAUCGGGAAGAACACCCGUGGCGAAGGCGGUUCUCUGGGACGGUACUGGACGCUGAGACGCGAAAGCGUGGGGAGCGAACAGG
This 254-nucleotide ribosomal RNA is filed under the name uncultured bacterium. Its description in RNAcentral is "partial 16S ribosomal RNA". It matches the Rfam family "Bacterial small subunit ribosomal RNA", at positions 524 to 776 of the family's 1533-position model. The record is from RNAcentral.